Molecule: ribosomal RNA, 486 nt
Filed under: Escherichia coli
Lineage: Bacteria; Pseudomonadati; Pseudomonadota; Gammaproteobacteria; Enterobacterales; Enterobacteriaceae
Description: bacterial SSU rRNA
Rfam family: Bacterial small subunit ribosomal RNA
Source: RNAcentral
GGCCUCUUGCCAUCGGAUGUGCCCAGAUGGGAUUAGCUAGUAGGUGGGGUAACGGCUCACCUAGGCGACGAUCCCUAGCUGGUCUGAGAGGAUGACCAGCCACACUGGAACUGAGACACGGUCCAGACUCCUACGGGAGGCAGCAGUGGGGAAUAUUGCACAAUGGGCGCAAGCCUGAUGCAGCCAUGCCGCGUGUAUGAAGAAGGCCUUCGGGUUGUAAAGUACUUUCAGCGGGGAGGAAGGGAGUAAAGUUAAUACCUUUGCUCAUUGACGUUACCCGCAGAAGAAGCACCGGCUAACUCCGUGCCAGCAGCCGCGGUAAUACGGAGGGUGCAAGCGUUAAUCGGAAUUACUGGGCGUAAAGCGCACGCAGGCGGUUUGUUAAGUCAGAUGUGAAAUCCCCGGGCUCAACCUGGGAACUGCAUCUGAUACUGGCAAGCUUGAGUCUCGUAGAGGGGGGUAGAAUUCCAGGUGUAGCGGUGAAAU